AUGGUUUCUGUGCCAGAGUUUUUCUUCCUUUGGGAAGAAGAUCGAGAUUCAAAGUCAAUGUAUUUACUGUUAUUUUUUACCUUGGGCCCCAAAACCCAAGAGAUUUGUUUUGUGCCAGGAGCCUUAAAAGAAUAUACAAAGGCUCUUUUCUUGUAAAAUCCUUGAUGAAUUACAAAUACUGACAGGAAUUUCUCAGCAGUGUUAAGUUGCCUGUUGAAGUCUACAAGCUUAAAAUCAGUGCUCUUCUUCUCUAUCAAUCUUCAUCUCUGCUUCAGUUACUAACAUAUGGUACAUCUCCAAAGGAAAUUAUCUCUCUAGGGAAGUUGCACCAGCCUUACUGCUUAAGUCAUGUAAAACUGGACCAGAAAAAAAGAGCAGUGGAAACUACACCAGGGGGAACAAUCCUGCUUUGGCAAGAAAAAGACUCAAAAAUGAAGGCUAUCAGUCACAAACAAAGAAGCAUUAAGUGCAUCAGACGUCUGCUGGUCCUCCAUCUCAUCGCCUUAGCAACAAGCUGUGUGGUGGCAGAACUGAUGAAGCUGAGCAGGACGCAUGGUUGAUUCAAGGACACCCCUCCUGAUUAAAAGUUAGAGCUUUUCUUCAAAGCACUUUUCUAUAAGAGAUUCUCAAAUUGAUGCAGAGGAAAUGCCUUGUGUUAAUUCCAGGGUCAGAAGAAAAAUAUUGUUCCUGGAUCUUGAAAGAAGAUUCAAUUAUGACUUGCUGUUUAAAGAGGCAUUUAAAUUAAAAAUUUUAAUCUAUUCAAGUGAAAAUUUAUUCUAAAAACAAUUUAGAUCCUUUUAUAAAAGCAGAUCUUACGUAUUCUGUAUUUAAAUGAAAAUGUUUGCAUUCUUUUUAGUUGUCUUAUUAAAUAUGAACUUUGGCACCAUUUUGAUUCAG
Molecule: long non-coding RNA, 897 nt
Organism: Equus caballus (horse)
Lineage: Eukaryota; Metazoa; Chordata; Mammalia; Perissodactyla; Equidae
Source: RefSeq, a predicted model, not a curated record